Molecule: unclassified non-coding RNA, 1340 nt
Filed under: Hevea brasiliensis (rubber tree)
Lineage: Eukaryota; Viridiplantae; Streptophyta; Magnoliopsida; Malpighiales; Euphorbiaceae
Source: RNAcentral
GACAAAAAUAAUUAACGUUGAGAACUCCAUUUGCACAAUUGGAGAGGCUCCUAGCGAACAUAUUGACUACCAGGCUUACUUAAACAGACCUACCACAGGUGGUGGGGUUUGGUUUAUAGAAUCCAAUGGAAAUAAGUCUAGUCUAGUUUCAGGUUAUAAGGCAUCCCCUGAAGAAAAUGAUUUCCAGAGUUGUCUCAGUGCCUACUUUGGUCCUGAAGUUAGCCAAAUCAGAGAUACAGUGGACAGCUGUUGUCAAAGUGUGCUUGAGGACCUACUCAGUUUCUUAGAAUCUCCAAAGGCAGUACUCAGGCUAAAAGAUUUGGGCCCGUUUCUACAGGAUAACUGUUAUGCUAGCAUGUCAACCAUUCUGGCAGAGCUCAAGAGGGUCCUCGAUAAGUUAAAUGCUACCAUGGAAAAUGCCAGCAAGGAAAGUCUUUCUGUGCCNNNAGCUACAGUUGUUGAGAGAUCCCUUUUUGUUGGGAGACUGUUGUUUGCAUUUCAGAACCACACAGAACACAUUCCAUUGAUACUUGGAUCUCCAACGUUUUGGACAAAAGAUACUGUGGCUGCAGUUUUUGACAAGUUACCAUCUGUAUUGAGGCAAUCUCGAGUUGCCAUAGAUUCUCCAAUUGCUGAUAGUCCUGGCAGGCAAACACCCACUGGUUCUAGACGACAGACUUCAUCUGCUACAGCUGCUUUGCUAGGAGCAAAUGAAAAUGCAAGCCCUAAACUUGAAGAACUAGCCAGAACCACCAGGGAUCUUUCCAUCAGAGCUCACAACUUGUGGAUGUUCUGGUUAUCUGAUGAGCUUUCGGCCAUUCUUGCUCGAGAUCUUGGAAAGGAUGACGGAUUGUCAGCUAUUACUCCCUUGAGGGGCUGGGACGAGACAGUAGUGAAGCAAGAACAAUAUGAUGAGAACUAUUCUGAAAUGAAAAUAUCACUCCCAUCCUUGCCGUCUCUCUAUAUUAUUUCUUUUCUGUUUCGAGCAUGUGAAGAAAUUCAUAGGAUUGGGGGUCAUGUACUUAACAAAUCGAUUCUGCAAAAAUUUGCAUUAAGACUACUGCAAAAGCUUAUUGAAAUUUAUGAGGACUUCCUUUCUUCUAGAGAUUCCCAUCCAUCUCAGGUGUCAGAGAAAGGAGUUCUGCAAAUACUCUUAGACCUAAAAUUUGCUGCAGAUGUUCUUUCUGGGGGUGAUUCCAAUAUGACUGAGGACUUUUCUAAAAGUCCCAUGAUAAAAGUUUCUUUCAGAAGGAAGCAGGAGCAAAGUCAAACAAAGUCUGUCUUUAGAGAGCGUAUUGAGUGGCUAAUUAGCCGUUUUUCACAAAAAUUGGAUCCAAUAG